RNAcentral lists this ribosomal RNA (468 nucleotides) under uncultured bacterium. RNAcentral's name for it is "partial 16S ribosomal RNA". It matches the Rfam family "Bacterial small subunit ribosomal RNA", at positions 28 to 507 of the family's 1533-position model. The record is from RNAcentral.
GAUGAACGCUGGCGGCGUGCCUAACACAUGCAAGUCGAACGGAAAGGCCCUGCUUUUGUGGGGUGCUCGAUUGGCGAACGGGUGAGUAACACGUGUGUAACCUGCCCUUGUCUUUGGGAUAACUUCAGGAAACUGGGGCUAAUAUCGGAUAGGAUCUCCUGCUGCAUGGUGGGGGUUGGAAAGUUUCGGCGUUUGGGGAUGGACUCGCGGCUUAUCAGCUUGUUGGUGGGGUAGUGGCUUACCAAGGCUUUGACGGAUAGCCGGCCUGGGAGGGUGACCGGCGACAUGGGGACUGAGGUACGGAGCAGACGCGUACGGGAGGCAGCAGUGGGGAAUAUGGCACAGUGAGCGGGAGCCUGUGGCGGCGACGCCGCGUGCGGAAUGACGGCCUUCGGGUUGAGAACCGCUUUCGCCUGUGACGAAGCGGGAGUGACGGUAAUGGGUAAAGAAGCACCGGCUAACUACGUG